Molecule: ribosomal RNA, 499 nt
Filed under: uncultured fungus
Lineage: Eukaryota; Fungi
Description: eukaryotic LSU rRNA
Rfam family: 5.8S ribosomal RNA (bases 181-334)
Source: RNAcentral
CUUGGUGAACCACGCGGAGGGAUCAUUACACGAGUUGCAAAACUCCCAACCCUUUGUGAACGAACCUACCAGUUGCUUCGGCGGCAGACUCCUCUGGGGCCUAGCCUUUGCGGGUACCCCGCCGGAGUCCUACAAACUCUUGAUUUUUUGGCAUCUCUGAGUAGCUUAUAAAUAAGUUAAAACUUUCAACAACGGAUCUCUUGGUUCUGGCAUCGAUGAAGAACGCAGCGAAAUGCGAUAAGUAAUGUGAAUUGCAGAAUUCAGUGAAUCAUCGAAUCUUUGAACGCACAUUGCGCCCGCUAGUAUUCUGGCGGGCAUGCCUGUUCGAGCGUCAUUUCAACCCUCGGGCCCGUACGGGACCGGUGUUGGGGCUUUUUUUUGCCGCAUGGCAAGCCCCCGAAAGCAAGUGGCGGGCCCGCUGAGACCCCCGAGCGUAGUAGUUUACACCCAUCGCUCCCGGGGCGCCCCGGCGGGCGGCACCCAGCCCGUUAAAAGCAAC